UAUCACAUAUUUAAAAAGGUACAGCACAUUUUGUAUAUAGUAGAAUUCAUGUGUUUGUGCUGCAGGGUAAAAGACAUUCAAAAUGUGUAUAUCGACACCACAUUCCUUGAUCCCAAGUAUCAUCAGAUACCUAGCAGGGAGGCUUGUUUGACAGGGAUAAGCCAGCUGGUCCAGGACUGGGUCUGUCAGAGUCCGUGCCAUGGUGUUUGGUUAAACUGCAAGGCAGCUUAUGGUUACGAGUACCUUUUCACCAAUCUAGAACAAGCUCACAGAUACAUGUGAAGAGCUUGGAUAUGUUCAAAAAAAUGCCUGAAAUUCUGUCACAUGACCACCGACCGUGCAACGCAGAUCCACGCUUGUAGGCACCCCAAGGAUGAGGAGUUCUUCAGGGCAAAGAGGAUACCGUGCGGCUCCACGGCUCCGGAUGGCGUUCCUCUAAACAUCAUCAGCAUCAAACCCUCAACCAUAUGGUUUGGAGAACGGACCAGAAAGACCUCCGUCAUUGUCAAGAUGGGAAGUAGUUCCUACAGAGCAUGCUUUUCUUUUCAUUCCUCUUAUUUGAGAGAAAUCCCACCGAGAAGGAUAUUCUUCAUAUGACACACCAUACACAAUGUUAGCCUAUCAUAAGACCGUGUCUAUUUCCUGUGACUAGGUUAAGGACUUUCUCUCCUACAUCUGUCCUGUUAACAUCUAUCCUAAUGUCAUUCCGUUGUGCAAGACACUGCAGGACAUCGCAGAGCUGUAAGGACAAACCUUACAAAAAUUACAAAACCAAAACUGAAAUAAAAAAGUUAAAUGGAAAUAUUAAAAAAACAACAAAAACUAUUAUAAAUGACAAAAGCACAACAAAUUCUAAAGUACUAAAUUCUAAUACAAUUCUAGGUUCACAUUGUCAAAUGUUGAUAACCUCAGACUCAAAACUUGUCACUAUGGCAACCCAACAUCAAAACAGAUCCAUGUGCAGCUUUGUUGUUGAUAAGAGCAAAAUAUUUUCCAAUCUAUAUUCACCUCUACAUGUUCAUAUAUAUAUAUA
Long non-coding RNA from Cyprinus carpio (common carp), 1033 nucleotides. RefSeq lists it as uncharacterized. The record is from RefSeq and is a predicted model, not a curated record. NCBI's taxonomy places the organism in Eukaryota, Metazoa, Chordata, Actinopteri, Cypriniformes, Cyprinidae. The transcript is spliced from 5 exons.